AACAAGGCGUACCUGCGGACCUGCGGAGGGAUCAUUACCGAGUGUGAACCCCCCCGUAAAAAAGAGGGGUUACCUCCCGUCCUUUGCUGGGAACCCCUUUCCAACUUGGAAGGAGGUUGUUUUCAGACCCUUCUGCUUCGGUGGGGUAACCCACCGGAACAACCUCAAAAAUAUUCUCAAUUCAAAACCGUUCAGUCCGAGAACUUUUUUGAAAAGCGAAAAAACUUUCAACAAUGGAUC
RNAcentral lists this unclassified non-coding RNA (240 nucleotides) under soil metagenome. Its description in RNAcentral is "partial contains 5.8S ribosomal RNA, internal transcribed spacer 2, and large subunit ribosomal RNA". The record is from RNAcentral.